UGGGGAAUUUUGGACAAUGGGCGAAAGCCUGAUCCAGCAAUGCCGCGUGUGUGAAGAAGGCCUUCGGGUUGUAAAGCACUUUUGUCCGGAAAGAAAUCCUUGGCUCUAAUACAGUCGGGGGAUGACGGUACCGGAAGAAUAAGCACCGGCUAACUACGUGCCAGCAGCCACGGUAAUACGUAGGGUGCAAGCGUUAAUCGGAAUUACUGGGCGUAAAGCGUGCGCAGGCGGUUUGCUAAGACCGAUGUGAAAUCCCCGGGCUCAACCUGGGAACUGCAUUGGUGACUGGCAGGCUAGAGUAUGGCAGAGGGGGGUAGAAUUCCACGUGUAGCAGUGAAAUGCGUAGAGAUGUGGAGGAAUACCGAUGGCGAAGGCAGCCCCCUGGGCCAAUACUGACGCUCAUGCACGAAAGCGUGGGGAGCAAACAGGAUUAGAUACCCUGGUAGUCCACGCCCUAAAACGAUGUCAACUAGUUGUUGGGGAUUCAUUUCCUUAGUAACGUAGCUAACGCGUGAAGUUGACCGCCUGGGGAGUACGGUCGCAAGAUUAAAACUCAAAUGAAUUG
Molecule: ribosomal RNA, 565 nt
Filed under: uncultured bacterium
Lineage: Bacteria
Description: partial 16S ribosomal RNA
Rfam family: Bacterial small subunit ribosomal RNA
Source: RNAcentral